GACGAACGCUGGCGGCGUGCUUAACACAUGCCAGUCGAACGGAAAGGCCCUGCGCUUGUGUGGUGCUCGAUUGGCGAACGGGUGAGUAACACGUGUGUAACCUGCCCUUGACUUUGGGAUAUCUUCAGGGAACUGGGGCGAAUACCCGAUAGGAGCUCCUGCUGCAUGGUGGUGGUAGGAAAGAUUCGGCGUUUGGGGAUGUACUCGCUGCAUAUCAGCUUGUUUGUGGGGUAGUGGCUUACCAAGGCUUUGACGGGUAGCCGGCCUGAGAGGGUGACCGGCCACACUGGGACUGAGGGGCGGCAGAGGUUGCUAAGCGAGGGAGCAGUGGGAAAGAUUGCACGAUGGGCGGAGGGCGGGUGCAGCAACGCCGCGGGCGGGAAAACGGCCUUCGGGUGGUAGACCGCUUUCGCAUGUAACGAAGCGUGAGUGACGGUAAUGGGUACAGAAGCCCCGGCUUACUACGUG
RNAcentral lists this ribosomal RNA (468 nucleotides) under uncultured bacterium. Its description in RNAcentral is "partial 16S ribosomal RNA". It matches the Rfam family "Bacterial small subunit ribosomal RNA", at positions 28 to 507 of the family's 1533-position model. The record is from RNAcentral.